RNAcentral lists this microRNA precursor (124 nucleotides) under Arabidopsis suecica. Its description in RNAcentral is "MIR405". It matches the Rfam family "MIR405 microRNA precursor family". Lineage: Eukaryota; Viridiplantae; Streptophyta; Magnoliopsida; Brassicales; Brassicaceae. The record is from RNAcentral. RNAcentral also lists the same sequence under 1 other name.
UCAACUCAUUUAACCUUCUAACCCAUCAAAUUAAAUGAGUUCAUGGGUUGACUCAACUCAUUUGCUCAAAUGAGUUGAGUCAACCCAUGAACUCAUUUAACUCUAAACUCAUUGGGUAAUGAGU